Molecule: ribosomal RNA, 458 nt
Filed under: uncultured bacterium
Lineage: Bacteria
Description: partial 16S ribosomal RNA
Rfam family: Bacterial small subunit ribosomal RNA
Source: RNAcentral
CCUACGGGAGGCAGCAGUGAGGAAUAUUGGUCAAUGGGCGAGAGCCUGAACCAGCCAAGUCGCGUGAGGGAGUACUGCCCUAUGGGUUGUAAACCUCUUUUGUCGGGGAGCAAAAGCCGGACGUGUCCGGCUGUGAGAGUACCCGAAGAAAAAGCAUCGGCAAACUCCGUGCCAGCAGCCGCGGUAAUACGGAGGAUGCGAGGUUUUACCGGAUUUAUUGGGUUUAAAGGGUGCGGAGGCGGAUUUUUAAGUCAGCGGGAAAAUCGUGGGGCUCAACCCCAUCCAGCCGUUGAAACUGGGGAUCUAGAGUGUGCGAGAGGUAUGCGGAAUGCGUGGUGUAGCGGUGAAAUGCAUAGAUAUCACGCAGAACCCCGAUUGCGAAGGCAGCAUACCGGUGCACAACUGACGCUCAGGCACGAAAGCGUGGGUAUCGAACAGGAUUAGAUACCCGAGUAGUC